AUAGAUUAGUGAUCAUGGAUAUGUGUCAUUACGUUGAAUCGUAAGAAAUGUGAGCUUAUUUUCCCUAGAAUAAGGUGGUGGGGCUUAAAAGGAGAUAUCUUGAAAUCAUUUACUGAUAAAUUGGUUAAACAAGGAAGGUGAGACUUUGAUGGAGACAAUAAUACGAUGUGGAAUGAGAUGAUUGCUUGUAUUAAGAAGGUUGCUAAAGAUGUCUAAGGCAAAUCGAAAGGAAAAUAUCAUUCCUCUAGGGAGACUUGGUGGUGGGACUGGGAUGAUGAGGUUCAAGCAGCCAUUAAGGCUAAGAAAACUAGUUUUAAGACAUGGUAAAGGACAGAGGAUGUAGAGGAUCUAAAAUGGUAUGAAUUUGCCAGAACUGAAGCUAAGAAAAUUGUUGGAAAAGCAAGGGCGAAGAAAUAUGAAGAUCUUUAUAACAAUCCGAGCACAAAGGAAGAGGAAAAAUCUAUCUAUAAGAUAGCUAAAAUGAGGGAAAGGAAGAGUAGAGAUUUCGACUAUGUUAGUUGUAUUAAAAGUAAAGAGGGUAAAGAAAUACUAAUAAGGGAUGAGGACAUUAAGGAGAUAUGGAAAGAUUAUUUCUACAACCUCUACUAAAUGAAGACAUUUUGAAUAAUAAUGUCCCGAAAAGCUGCAUUACUCAUCAAGACACCACAUCCCGUAGAUAUAUACAAAAAUUAGGGUG
Long non-coding RNA from Telopea speciosissima, 697 nucleotides. RefSeq lists it as uncharacterized. NCBI's taxonomy places the organism in Eukaryota, Viridiplantae, Streptophyta, Magnoliopsida, Proteales, Proteaceae. The record is from RefSeq and is a predicted model, not a curated record. The transcript has 3 exons.